Molecule: unclassified non-coding RNA, 344 nt
Filed under: soil metagenome
Description: partial contains 5.8S ribosomal RNA, internal transcribed spacer 2, and large subunit ribosomal RNA
Rfam family: 5.8S ribosomal RNA (bases 1-120)
Source: RNAcentral
GAUGAAGAACGCAGUGAAAUGCGAUACGUAAUGUGAAUUGCAGAAUUCAGUGAAUCAUCGAGUCUUUGAACGCACAUUGCGCCCCCUGGUAUUCCGGGGGGCAUGCCUGUCCGAGCGUCAUUGCUGCCCUCAAGCACGGCUUGUGUGUUGGGCCUCCGUCCUCCUCCCGGGGGACGGGCCCGAAAGGCAGCGGCGGCACCGCGUCCGGUCCUCGAGCGUAUGGGGCUUCGUCACCCGCUCUUGUAGGCCCGGCCGGCGCUUGCCGACACAUCAAUCUUUUUUCAGGUUGACCUCGGAUCAGGUAGGGAUACCCGCUGAACUUAAGCAUAUCAAUAAGCGGAGGA